UGCAAUCCUGCUCGUCGCCUCGUCAUAAUCCAUGUCCUCACUCGGCUCCGUCUCCUCGUCCUGCUCUGCCUCCUGACUCCCGUACUCGUCAAUCAGUCGAUAGACGCUGUCAUCACUCGGCUCAUCCUCAACGUCAGUGUCCAUCAUCGGUCCAAAAACCGGCACCUCGGGAACAGGUACCCAUGUCUCAACUCCGUCGGCUGUAGUGUGACGCUGCAACGGCUGAGUCCGUCCGUAUCCGACCGUCAUCUCUGGAGUCUCCUCAUCCGGG
Molecule: long non-coding RNA, 271 nt
Filed under: Salvia miltiorrhiza (redroot sage)
Lineage: Eukaryota; Viridiplantae; Streptophyta; Magnoliopsida; Lamiales; Lamiaceae
Description: long non-coding RNA (SMIL_LNC001719)
Source: RNAcentral